UGCCAGCAGCCGCGGUAACACGGGGGGCGCAAGUGUUAUUCGGAAUUAUUGGGCGUAAAGGGCACGUAGGCGGUCUUGUCAGUCAGGUGUGAAAGCCCGGGGCUCAACCCCGGACGUGCAUUUGAAACAGCAAGACUUGAGUACGGGAGAGGAGAGAGGAAUUCCUGGUGUAGAGGUGAAAUUCGUAGAUAUCAGGAGGAACACCGGAGGCGAAGGCGGCCACCUGGACCGGUACUGACGCUGAGGCGCGAAAGCGUGGGGAGCAAACAGGAUUAGAUA
This 279-nucleotide ribosomal RNA is filed under the name uncultured bacterium. RNAcentral's name for it is "partial 16S ribosomal RNA". It matches the Rfam family "Bacterial small subunit ribosomal RNA", at positions 506 to 784 of the family's 1533-position model. The record is from RNAcentral.